RNAcentral lists this ribosomal RNA (274 nucleotides) under Vibrio parahaemolyticus. RNAcentral describes it as "partial 23S ribosomal RNA". It matches the Rfam family "Bacterial large subunit ribosomal RNA", at positions 1369 to 1643 of the family's 2925-position model. Lineage: Bacteria; Pseudomonadati; Pseudomonadota; Gammaproteobacteria; Vibrionales; Vibrionaceae. The record is from RNAcentral.
UCGGGGCAGGGUAAGUCGACCCCUAAGGCGAGGCCGAAAGGCGUAGUCGAUGGGAAACGGGUUAAUAUUCCCGUACUUCUUACAAUUGCGAUGGGGGGACGGAGAAGGCUAGGUGGGCCUGGCGACGGUUGUCCAGGUUCAAGUGCGUAGGCUUAAGAGUUAGGUAAAUCCGGCUCUUUUUAAGGCUGAGACACGACGUCGAGCAUCUACGGAUGUGAAGUCAUUGAUGCCAUGCUUCCAGGAAAAGCCUCUAAGCUUCAGAUUGUAAGGAAUC